GGUGAACGCUGGCGGUAGGCCUAACACAUGCAAGUCGAACGGCAGCACAGUAAGAGCUUGCUCUUACGGGUGGCGAGUGGCGGACGGGGAGGAAUACAUCGGAAUCUACUUUUUCGUGGGGUAUAACGUAGGGAAACUUACUCUAAUACCACAUACUACCUACGGGUGAAAGCAGGUGAUCUUCGGACCUUGCGCGAUUGAAUGAGCCGAUGUCGGAUUAGCUAGUUGGCGGGGUAAAGGCCCACCAAGGCGACGAUCCGUAGCUGGUCUGAGAGGAUGAUCGGCCACACUGGAACUGAGACACGGUCCAGACUCCUACGGGAGGCAGCAGUGGGGAAUAUUGGACAAUGGGCGCAAGCCUGAUCCAGCCAUACCGCGUGAGUGAAGAAGGCCUUCGGGUUGUAAAGCCCUUUUGUUGGGAAAGAAAAGCAGCAGGUUAAUACCCCGCUGUUCUGACGGUACCCAAAGAAUAAGCACCGGCUAACUUCGUG
RNAcentral lists this ribosomal RNA (491 nucleotides) under uncultured bacterium. RNAcentral describes it as "partial 16S ribosomal RNA". It matches the Rfam family "Bacterial small subunit ribosomal RNA", at positions 28 to 507 of the family's 1533-position model. The record is from RNAcentral.